AAAAUUUGCGAUAGAAAAGGGAUAGUGAAUUCAAAAUUCCAAUUCGGCAAAGUUUCAAAUGAAACGUACUCUUAAGUGGACAAUAGUAAUUUUCAUUGUUUAGAGUAUGUAGCACCACCAUGACAUAUAUUCAAAAUUGUUUGAAGUUUAUUUCAUUGAUUAUAUGGAUGAAUCUAACCUUAAGUUGCAGCAAAGUGUGGAUUGAGUCG
This 209-nucleotide long non-coding RNA is filed under the name Phoenix dactylifera (date palm). Its description in RNAcentral is "long non-coding RNA (PDAC_LNC010516)". The record is from RNAcentral. Lineage: Eukaryota; Viridiplantae; Streptophyta; Magnoliopsida; Arecales; Arecaceae.